UGUGGAGGCCUAGGGGAGCCCGG
RNAcentral lists this microRNA (23 nucleotides) under Macacine alphaherpesvirus 1. Its description in RNAcentral is "hbv-miR-B8-5p". Its record names the gene hbv-miR-B8-5p. Lineage: Duplodnaviria; Heunggongvirae; Peploviricota; Herviviricetes; Herpesvirales; Orthoherpesviridae. The record is from miRBase by way of RNAcentral.